Acipenser ruthenus (sterlet) is the source of this 144-nucleotide long non-coding RNA. RefSeq lists it as uncharacterized. The transcript has 2 exons. The record is from RefSeq and is a predicted model, not a curated record. NCBI's taxonomy places the organism in Eukaryota, Metazoa, Chordata, Actinopteri, Acipenseriformes, Acipenseridae.
AUUUUCUUGAGUCUCAUUGGGAGAUGGGACAAUCAUGCUCUAAAUCGGGAGUCUCACGACAAAAUUGGGAGACUUGGCAGGUUCUUUAGAUUUUGAGGUAACCAUCCAGACCACUGGACAAUGAGAGAGGAGGGACCACAACAG